Non-coding RNA from Sus scrofa (pig), 1557 nucleotides. The record is from RefSeq and is a predicted model, not a curated record. NCBI's taxonomy places the organism in Eukaryota, Metazoa, Chordata, Mammalia, Artiodactyla, Suidae.
CAAAAUAUUUUGUGUUUGUGAAGGCCCCGCUGAGACUCUAUGAAUAUGGCUGGACAAAUUGGGGAAGGAGCACGACAGCCCUGUCACUCAAGAAGAACAAUAGGAAAAGUGAUAUGUUCCUCCAGCUGCACUCCUGCUUCCACUGAGUUAAGGGGAGACAUCACUGAGUUGAAGGUGAGUCCAAGGUCUCCCUGUGCCCAUGAGGGACUGAAGGCCAUAUGCAGUCCUACUUUAAGCUGGGGCACUUGGGAGAGGGGGAGAACUAAGAUGGUUAUGGUUCAUUGCUAACAGUGGUGAGCUCUCACCACCCCCGCCCCCGACUUAGUACUUGUGAGGUCUCUCCUACUCAGUUACAAGGGCUUGGCUGGUGUCAUAAUGGGGAGAGGAAGCCAAAAUGAGAGUUGUUGCUUCUAGUAGGAAUUAUUGCAUCUUGUGCUUACACUUCCCAAUCCCUUAAGUCAGAUGUAAGAUGAGAUUUUGUGAUCUAGAAAUCAUUCUAGUCCAUCUUAUUAUACAAACAAUUCUUUGGAAAAGGUCUAGUUUAUUUGAAAGAGGAAAAAAAGAGAAAUAUAUAUAUGUGCUCCAAACCGUCAGUUUCAUUAUGGAAAUUGAACAAAUAAAAGUCAGAUUAACUUCAAGUGUCUUGUUAACUAGGUAGCUGGCCUUUUUCAAAACAAAACAGACAGAAUAAAAACCAACUCCCUUUGUUGUACAAUCUGUUGUACAACAAAGUUCUUCAAAUAUCCUGUUAGUUUAUAAAAUAGCCAAUUACAUUGUGAAACUAUAGUUAAUCUAUCAAUAAACAAUCAAUAAUUAUAAAAUAAUUAAAAGGUUCCUAGGGGAUAAUUUAUUUAAGUAGCUGCUCUGCAGAGAAGCUCAUGAUCUCUCUGUAAAUCUAGACUCACUUACCAAGGGAAGCGUUCCUUUACACACUUCAGAAGUUGGUGCCCUUGCUCAGUGCUCACAUAUCCUCCUGUUUAAGAAUUUAUUACUCUACCUUGUGAUGGCAUUUCUCUUUAAACAAGCAGCUUCUUAAAGGCAGGAACUUCAUCAUAUUACAUUACAUUUUGCCACACAUUCAUACAAGGCUUAACACAUAGCAAAUGAUUCUUUCAUUUUUUUUCUAGAGGAAUAUGUAAAUAAACAAAUAUUUUAGGAAGACUCUAUUCUAAACCACCUUGAAAAAAAUCAUUUGUCAAAGUAUUAGAACUACUAUUCCCUUACAGUCUAUGAAAUCAGUAUUUGAUGGGCUCCUGUUUCUAAGCAAAUGUCUCAUAUAUAUGUUAAACCAGAAUAACAGCUAUAUCCCACAAGGACGUUAACAGUAAGCCUGACUUUUUUAAAAUAAAUGCAAUAAAAAUGCAAUAGGUUUGUUUGGAUUUACCUCUGUAGAAAAAAAAAAAAAAGCUUUGCUGUCAGUAAAAAUGAUGUUCCGCACAUCUUUGUGGACCACAUGGCUGAGCCUUUUCUUGUUACAUUUUGAGGUAAGAGGCUUGCUUCUUGUCACCUUCAAUUUGACAUUUUACAGAAACUAGAAACAUAAGUCAGGUAGGGAAA